UACGUAGGGUGCAAGCGUUAUCCGGAAUUAUUGGGCGUAAAGAGCGCGUAGGCGGCCCUGUAAGUCCGCUGUGAAAGUCAAGGGCUCAACCCUUGAAUGCCGGUGGAUACUGCAGGGCUAGAGUCCGGAAGAGGCGAGUGGAAUUCCUGGUGUAGCGGUGGAAUGCGCAGAUAUCAGGAGGAACACCGAUGGCGAAGGCAG
RNAcentral lists this ribosomal RNA (201 nucleotides) under uncultured bacterium. RNAcentral describes it as "partial 16S ribosomal RNA". It matches the Rfam family "Bacterial small subunit ribosomal RNA", at positions 524 to 724 of the family's 1533-position model. The record is from RNAcentral.